RNAcentral lists this small RNA (125 nucleotides) under Marmota monax (woodchuck). The record is from RNAcentral. Lineage: Eukaryota; Metazoa; Chordata; Mammalia; Rodentia; Sciuridae.
GCUGGGCGCAGUGGCCCUCACCUGUAAUCCCAGUGGCUCUGGAGGCUGAGGCAGGAGGAUCACAAGUCCAAAGCCAGCUUCGGCCAUGGCGAGGAGCUAAGCAACUCAGUGAGACCCUGUCUCUA